Molecule: ribosomal RNA, 402 nt
Filed under: uncultured bacterium
Lineage: Bacteria
Description: bacterial SSU rRNA
Rfam family: Bacterial small subunit ribosomal RNA
Source: RNAcentral
UCGGGAAUUUUGGGCAAUGGGCGAAAGCCUGACCCAGCAACGCCGCGUGAGGGAUGAAGUAUUUCGGUAUGUAAACCUCGAAAGAAUGGGAAGAAUAAAUGACGGUACCAUUUAUAAGCUCCGGCUAACUACGUGCCAGCAGCCGCGGUAAUACGUAAGGAGCAAGCGUUGUUCGGAUUUACUGGGCGUAAAGGGCGCGUAGGCGGCGCGGUAAGUCACUUGUGAAAUCUCUGAGCUUAACUCAGAACGGCCAAGUGAUACUGCUGUGCUAGAGUGCGGAAGAGGCAACCGGAAUUCUUGGUGUAGCGGUGAAAUGCGUAGAUAUCAAGAGGAACACCUGAGGCGAAGGCGGGUUGCUGAGCCGACACUGACGCUGAUGCGCGAAAGCCAGGGGAGCAAACG